AUGGUUAUCAAUGGUGCAUUUUUCUCCCUCUUCAUUUCAAUCCUCUUUCCUGUUGUGGUGAAGCUCAGAGAAGAAGCUGAAAGUAUACUUUUGAUAAAGCAGUCCCUCUGUGGGUGCAUGAACCAGCCCCAAGCCUGGACACAGAGCACACAAGUAAAAACAAUACUGUCCUCUGAAGUCUGCUCUGAAGUUGACAUCUCACUGAAUGACUUGUUCAGAAUAUACAAAAUGCUUUGGAUCUCUAAGAAUAGCAUCCAGUCUGUUCUAUAGUAGGUCUUUCAGCAGGAGUUAAUUCCAGCACUGAUACUUUCAUUGAUGUACAUUGUAGUUCUUCGAGUGCUCAGUUUCCAGUAGGCUGAGUACCUGAAAA
Molecule: long non-coding RNA, 370 nt
Filed under: Cyanistes caeruleus (blue tit)
Lineage: Eukaryota; Metazoa; Chordata; Aves; Passeriformes; Paridae
Description: lncRNA (ENSCCEG00000015276.1)
Source: RNAcentral